RNAcentral lists this long non-coding RNA (330 nucleotides) under Phaseolus vulgaris (common bean). RNAcentral's name for it is "long non-coding RNA (PVUL_LNC000145)". Lineage: Eukaryota; Viridiplantae; Streptophyta; Magnoliopsida; Fabales; Fabaceae. The record is from RNAcentral.
ACCACGUCGUCGCCUUCGUAGUCCAAAUGCUGAGCAUGCAGGUCAUUCAUCUCAAGAUGAGCGUGCACAUGCGGUAAGUUUUUUUUUAUUGUUAUGUGAUUAAACAAUAUAUUUAACAAGUUUAAUUUAUUUUGAAAUUGGUGCAGGGUAUAUUUAGGCGCAUUGUUAGUAUCCUCCAGCGCAUGAUAGAUUGUCGUCAGGUCACUGCAGGCACUGACGCAUAUGAGAGUACGGAGGCAGCGCUGCAGUUAGCCCGGAGUGUGACAGAUGACGGGGCAGUUUACACGAGACGAUCACGUAAUGUUCGUGGACGUCAUUGAUAUUUUUUUA